AGUCUGGUGCCAGCAGCCGCGGUAAUUCCAGCUGAUUUAGCGUAUAUUCAUGUUGCUGCAGUUAAAACGUACGUAGUCUUAUUUUAGUGCAUUGUUAUAUGGUCUUUUCUAUGAAUUGUACUGUAAAACAUGCACUGUGUGUCUAUUUGCAAGGGUGCUUUAUUGUGCCUUUGUUGGUAGAUGCAGGUUACUUUGAAAAAAUCAGAGUGUUCAAAGCAGGCUUUACGCCGUGAAUACAUUAGCAUGGAAUAAUAGAAUAGGACUUUGGUUCUAUUUUGUUGGUUUCUAGGACUAAAGUAAUGAUUAAUAGGGGCGGUCGGGGGCGUUAAUAUUCCAAUGUCAGAGGUGAAAUUCUUGGAUUUUUGGAAGAUUAACUACUGCGAAAGCAUUCGCCAAGGACGCUUUCAUUGAUCAAGUGCGAAAGCCUAAGGAUCGAACAGGAUCAGAGACCCUGGUAGUUUAGGCUGUUAAUGAUGCCAACUAGGGAUUGGUGGGUGUUGUUUAUGACCCCAUCAGCAUCUUCCGGGAAACCAAAGUUUUUGGGUUCUGGGGGGAGUAUGGUCGCAAGGCUGAAACUUGAAGAAAUUGACGGAAGGGCACCACCAGGAGUGGAGCCUGCGGCUUAAUUUGACCCAACACGGGAAAACUUACCAGGUCCAGACAUAGUGAGGAUUGACAGAUUGAGAGCUCUUUCUUGAUUCUAUGGGUGGUGGUGCAUGGCCGUUCUUAGUUGGUGGAGUGAUUUGUCUGCUUAAUUGCGAUAACGAACGAGAUCUUAACCUGCUAAAUAGUGUGUUGGCAACUUGUGUGCUGAUGCUCACUUCUUAACGGGACUGUGUAAGAAAAUUUCACGGAAGCAUGAGGCAAUAACAGGUCUGUGAUGCCCUUCGAUGUUCUGGGCCGCACGCGCGCUACACUGACACAGUCAACGAGUUUGUCCUUGGUCGAAAGGCUUGGGUAAUCUUUUCAAACUGUGUCGUGCUGGGCUUGACAAUUGCAAUUAUUUGUCAUAAACGAGGAAUUCCUAGUAAGCGCGAGUCAUCAGCUCGCGUUGAUUACGUCCCUGCCCUUUGUACACACCGCCCGUCGCUCCUACCGAUUGGAUGAUCCGGUGAAGUCUUCGGACUGUGGUUUAGAUGUCAUUUCGGUGACGACUAUUCCGCGGGAAGUUGAUUAAACCUUAUCAUCUAGAGGAAGGAAAAGUCGUA
This 1208-nucleotide ribosomal RNA is filed under the name metagenome. Its description in RNAcentral is "SSU rRNA". It matches the Rfam family "Eukaryotic small subunit ribosomal RNA", at positions 558 to 1793 of the family's 1831-position model. The record is from RNAcentral.